GUGGGGAAUAUUGCACAAUGGGCGCAAGCCUGAUGCAGCCAUGCCGCGUGUGUGAAGAAGGCCUUCGGGUUGUAAAGCACUUUCAGCGGGGAGGAAGGCGAUAAGGUUAAUAACCUUGUCGAUUGACGUUACCCGCAGAAGAAGCACCGGCUAACUCCGUGCCAGCAGCCGCGGUAAUACGGAGGGUGCAAGCGUUAAUCGGAAUUACUGGGCGUAAAGCGCACGCAGGCGGUCUGUCAAGUCGGAUGUGAAAUCCCCGGGCUCAACCUGGGAACUGCAUUCGAAACUGGCAGGCUAGAGUCUUGUAGAGGGGGGUAGAAUUCCAGGUGUAGCGGUGAAAUGCGUAGAGAUCUGGAGGAAUACCGGUGGCGAAGGCGACCCCCUGGACAAAGACUGACGCUCAGGUGCGAAAGCGUGGGGAGCAAACAGGAUUAGAAACCCUGGUAGUCC
RNAcentral lists this ribosomal RNA (450 nucleotides) under uncultured bacterium. RNAcentral describes it as "partial 16S ribosomal RNA". It matches the Rfam family "Bacterial small subunit ribosomal RNA", at positions 354 to 796 of the family's 1533-position model. The record is from RNAcentral.